AAAAGAAAACUCCAAAAGCUCUCUGCCUAAUUCUCUAUUGACAACUUGAAAUGAAAACUAUCAAAUUUGAGUCGAAUAUAAAUGUAACAAAGAAAUCAAGCAAAGACCCAGUUGACUACAUUAAGCGAGGGUUGAAGAAAGAAGGUUGGCGAAGUAACAAAGGAAAAAAGUUGGUUAGAGUAAAAAAGCAUAUGAACAAGAACAUAAAUCCUCUGCCCCUACUCUUUUCAUAAAAAUUAGAAAGAAAGCAAUAACUGUUUGAGCAUAUGUAUUCACAAACCACAAGCAUCAAAGGGUAUUAUAAUGUUGCACUUUGACAAUGGACCAAGAAAGGCAGGUAGUCAUUGAAUGAAUUUGCCAUACUUGGUUAGGAUUCUAUCCAAGCAGAUUAUGUUUUUUCCCCUUGUUAUAUCUUGUAUGUUUCAGUCGGUGUAAAUAGGGACCUUUGAUGUAUAAAAAAUAUCUUCUCAAUGUU
This is a long non-coding RNA of Nicotiana tabacum (common tobacco), 475 nucleotides long. RefSeq lists it as uncharacterized. The record is from RefSeq and is a predicted model, not a curated record. NCBI's taxonomy places the organism in Eukaryota, Viridiplantae, Streptophyta, Magnoliopsida, Solanales, Solanaceae.